GACGAACGCUGGCGGCGUGCUUAACACAUGCAAGUCGAGCGGUAAGGCCCUUUCGGGGGUACACGAGCGGCGAACGGGUGAGUAACACGUGGGUGACCUGCCUUUAGCUCUGGGAUAAGCCUGGGAAACUGGGUCUAAUACCGGAUACGACUCCGCGGUGCAUGCUGUGGGGUGGAAAGCCUUGUGCGGCUGGAGAUGGGCCCGCGGCCUAUCAGCUUGUUGGUGGGGUGAUGGCCACCAAGGCGACGACGGGUAGCCGGCCUGAGAGGGCGACCGGCCACACUGGGACUGAGACACGGCCCAGACUCCUACGGGAGGCAGCAGUGGGGAAUCUUGCGCAAUGGGCGAAAGCCUGACGCAGCGACGCCGCGUGAGGGAUGACGGCCUCGGUUGUAA
This 396-nucleotide ribosomal RNA is filed under the name uncultured bacterium. Its description in RNAcentral is "bacterial SSU rRNA". It matches the Rfam family "Bacterial small subunit ribosomal RNA", at positions 28 to 428 of the family's 1533-position model. The record is from RNAcentral.